GACUACGGCCAUUCCUAGGCGAAAACACCAGUUCCUGUCCGAUCACAGCAGUUAAGUGAAAAAGUCUGAGGGCCUCGUUAGUACUAUGGUUGGAGACAACAUGGGAAUCCGGGGUGCUGUAGGCU
Molecule: ribosomal RNA, 125 nt
Organism: Schizosaccharomyces cryophilus OY26
Lineage: Eukaryota; Fungi; Ascomycota; Schizosaccharomycetes; Schizosaccharomycetales; Schizosaccharomycetaceae
Source: Rfam